This 24-nucleotide non-coding RNA is filed under the name Arabidopsis thaliana (thale cress). Lineage: Eukaryota; Viridiplantae; Streptophyta; Magnoliopsida; Brassicales; Brassicaceae. The record is from RNAcentral.
CCAAAAUGGACGAAUUUGCCCUGG